Molecule: long non-coding RNA, 11394 nt
Filed under: Daucus carota (carrot)
Lineage: Eukaryota; Viridiplantae; Streptophyta; Magnoliopsida; Apiales; Apiaceae
Description: long non-coding RNA (DCAR_LNC002846)
Source: RNAcentral
UCUAGGAACCUAUCAAAAUCCCAAUCUGAAUAUAUAAGUAUAUAUAAACCAAAUUCAUCUAGAUAAUUAAAACCUUAGCGCUUAUAAUGUUGAUCCUUCUUAGCUCAUGCAUCGCAUUUGGUUCCUAAAUAGUUAUGGUCUGUACUACUCUAUAGUUGCAUCUUUAUUUUAUCUUUUGUAACGUGUGUUACAUUGUUAGCUUUACUUGAUUGUUGCUGUGUAUCAUGUGUGCCUCCAUGUUGGUCGGGUUUUAUUUAAACUUAUGCUUUCAUUUAUUUGGUUUUUCAAGUUUUAAGUUUGCUUUGAAAUCAAUGGUUGUGUUUUGUUCCAUACUUAUAGUAUGUUUUUAUAAGCAUAACGGGUGCUUCGUAAACUGAAAUUUCACUAACGGUGUUCUGUAUUGUGUUAGAACUAUGAUUUGUAACGAGCUGAUGUUUGAGAGAGUUCAUAUAUUUAAAUUUUUUAUGAAUGGUGAAAUAUGUGUCUGCACUUCUUACCAAACAUAUAUUUAGCAUUCAACCACCAGAGGUUGGAAAGAUUUAUUAUAUAUUAACAACAAUUAAUUAAGUUUUAAUUGAACUAGAAAUAUUUAAUUUAGAAUAAUAGAGUAUGACUAUAUAACGUACAACAUGAUUGAUGGUUCAAGUGAAUUUCGCAGUUGCAGUUCAGAAUCCUCUUUAGAUUUAGGCUGUUAUAUGGAGAAGAAUUAAAAUAUCAGAAACUAUUUUAUGCCUUUUCAGGGAUUGGAGAUUCUGCAGAUAAAUUUAAAUGUCAUUUUCUUUAUUUUAUUUCAAAAUGAGGCCAUUCUAAUUUUAUUUGUUUUAAUAAAUAAAGGACGCAGAAAAUCGGUCCCCUAAAUUGCCUCUAAAUACAGGCUCCAAGCGAGUUCACUCUUGCACGUCCCAUUAGCCGGGCCUGGGCGUGUUGCAUUUGAUGCUGCAACAGCUUCCUGGUGAGCUAAAGUUGCCAUCUUUACUGUCUUUGGAACUAUACCCUAAAAUGCUCUCUACGGUUUUGGAGUUUAGCAGUUAAAUGGUACGAGAAAACCGACUACCCGGCCCCCUGUUUUCAUAAAUACGGGAGUUUCUCUUUGAUACGUGGCAUUGUUAUAUUGGGCACAUUACGUGUCCCUGGUAUAUUAGUCUUCAUAUGAGUUCCAGAGAGUUCAUCCAUAGAGUUAUUAGAGAAGGCACCGAAGAAGAAGAGAAUAAAUUUGUGAGCAAGUGAUAAGGGCGAAUCAUCAUAACAAAUCAAGUAAGUGUUGUGAUUAUGUUUCUAUCUUGGAAGUGAUGUUUUGUUGAUGAAAAUUUUCUGUUAAGUUUGAUUGGAUUACUGAUCUGUUUGUUGUUGCAAUUAUAGAUUCCGUAAUUCAAUCUUGGUACACAAUUUCGAUUUAAUUUUUAAUGCUCAUUAAUUACUCUUUCCAAUUAUGUGAUUGUAUUAUUAGAAUGAAGCCCGGGCCACUUAAGAUCAUCCUUUCAAAGAAGGGUUCGUCCUCUGAAUGUGCAGGGGAGAAAAUUCCUGGGACAGGGGAAAAUGUCAGAGCAGCAUGUCCCAGCCACCUCAUCAUAUCUGAUCUGUCGGUGGCGAAAGGCAUUGGACAUGCGUAUGCUGCUGCACCUGUAAAGAAAGUUAAAGCCACUGUUCGCAGUGGUAACAAAGAAGGAGAUAAAGUUCAUAUUUGUUUUAAAUGCAACAUACCGAUUGCAAUUUAUGGUCGCCUGGUAUAAUUCCUUCCAACACUCCUUGUCUUCCUUUAUUUGUUGCAAGCUCAUUAAUUUCCUGGAGUUUUAUCCUUAGUACUCAAGAUGUGAGUGUAUAAAUAUAUUAUCCAAUCAGGAUAACACUUGGUCUGUUUAUUUUGUAUCUCACGACAAGUUUUUUUAUAGAUAGAACAAUUAGCUUACCUUUGCCCAAAGGCUAUAAACUCGAGUUCACUUCUCUACUUUUAUCUCCCUACUAAAUAUUUUCAUGCCAUCUCUUUUUUGCAUUUUAAAUCUUCUUAAAUCAAUUCAUAUAGUGGGUUUUGAUUUAGUUUCAGUCAAUGUAAACCUGCAGAUCUUUUGUCACUUGAUAUUGUUCAAUCUGAACUUUUGAUAGCAAACUACCAUCCAUUUUAUUUGUAUAUGUUGCAGAGCCCCUGUGAACAUGCUUUCUGCAUGGACUGCGCCUUGGAAAGCAAUUCUGAGUGCUACAUGUAAGUUCAAAUUAAUGCACACAUCUGUCAUCUUGUACUGUAUUUUGUUGCCUGAGUAGAUCAAUACAUUUUAUUAACAAUGGAGAUUAUAGUUGUAUAAACAUCAUAAUUUUAGUAUCAAAAAGUAUGUUUUUCUGUUGUUACCCUGAUAAAAUCAUAAAGUUGAGCUAUUUUUUUUGUUUGCUUAGUUGUGAAGCGCCGGUCAACAAAAUCCAGAAGAUUCAUAUGGGGAAAGGAAAGAUGUUCAUAUGUGGCUGGAUGAACUGCCUCAAGUCAUUCUGCGAGUUCGAUGCAUUUAAGAGCCAUACCGAUGAAGUCCAUGGUGGUAGUUCGAGCUCCGUCAAGAAUGGUGGUAACUGAGAUCUGCAUCUCUACAACCCAUAAACAGACCCCUACCCAGGCCGACUGCAAUUGAAAACGUUGCUGCUCUUUUCAGUUAUCAUGUUUUCUUUCUUGGAUUGUGUUUCUUUCCUUCUUUUGCGUUUCAGGCAAGACAAUCGGAUUUCUUGUUAUUAUGUUUCCAAAUAAUUACCGGAUUUCCUUUUGAGUUAUAAUACUCUUUGAAGACUGUUUUAGUCCUGGUGGAUUAUGUAUGUUGGUAAUAGAUGUAUGUGUGUAAUAUACUUUCAAUCCAUUUUGGAGAUGAAAGUACUUUACUUACUUUUCACUUGCUUUCCUCUCCUUUUAAAACCUCGGGAGCAGGGUAAGCGCCCUUCGUGUUUCAGAUCUAGUAUGAAGCAACUCUAGAAUACAGACUAUUUAGUAGCGAAGCUGGUGCCUGUGCUAGAAAAUUGUCGGGAUUACAUUUCCGGGCUAGGCAGAUUACAGUGGAAUGAUUAUUACAGUGUAGAAUACAAAUGUAUAAUAGUCAUUGUUGGACAGGUUUCCACAAGGAGAGAGCAUAGAUAACUCUUCCAUUCCAUCCCUGCAACAUCCAAUUGUUGUCUUCACGAACGAGAAACUUUUUGUUGUAUUGCAGCCUAACCUUUCUUUGUACUUCAGCCAGGAUCUCUCUUGGCAAAGGUGUCUGCAUAAAACCAGCCUUCGUGAUUCGGGAUGUCAACCGCUGGUAGCCUCGUACUUCUCAGGCCUCUCGACCCUGGCUGUUCCUUCGCAGGCUAUUACGGUUAUCGUGUCUUUUGCCAGCAUCAUCUGUUCUAUAACCAAUCUGCUUUUAUCUUCAUGGGGUAAAGUAGCCUCAAACAUGUCUGAGACUCUGAGGUUGGAGAAAUGAGCUAAAGCAUCUCAGAACCGCGCUUUAAAGAAGGCAGAAUUGUAACUGCCGUUGAGUACUCCAAGGACCAGUAGCUCAGGAUUUAUUCUCUUGAUUAAUUAGUUUCAAUACCACGUCUUGUGGACCGCUUUCUAGGGCUGUCUCAUCAGGCACUUGCCUUGGCUUGUACAAACAAUUGACAACCAGCCUUUCACCUUCGACGAUCUUUAAAUCUUCUAGCUGAAUGGAAUCCCAUUUCUUAGCAAUGCAGUUGUACUCGAAUGGGAUGUUGAAUCUCUUGCAAUAGUCACUUAAACAAGUCCCUGUCUUUGCCACCCUCUUUGAUGGCAGAAAACCAGGUUCUGGAAAAUCAAUUCCUGUGAUGCUUAGUCCGUUCUUGAAACACAUGAUUUUCAGCUAUAUAUUUUGCAGACAGAAUAUCACAAAACAAAUCAAUAGGAGUAGGAAUUGAAACCAGUAAAUCGUCAAACAAACCAUGUAACCAUAUGACUAUAUGAGAACCUAGAGGAAUAACUCAUAAUGUGAUACUCAGCUUCGCAAGUACUAUUUGACGUUUUUUGUUUCUUUGUUUUCCAUGAAAUUAACGAAUUGCCAAGAAAAACUGCAUAACCACUAAGAGAUUUAGCUGUAAAACUCUUCCCCCGUCCAUGUCACAGUAGCCCUUCAAAAUGUGAUCAUUAUCAGCGGAAUAAAAAAGACCUUAGUUGAUGGUACCACUGAGAUAUCAGAGAACAUGUUGAGCAGCUUCCAGAUAAAAUUGUGCAGGAGAUCGUAGAAAUUGACUAAGUUGUUGGACAGAGUAUGAUAUCAGGCCUUGUCAUAUUCAAGUAAAGCAACUUUCCAACAAGUCUCCUAUAGAUUUCUGGGUUGGGAUAGAUUUUGGGGAAAGGGGGAAGAAGUCACCGUGCAAUCUUGUACAGAUGUAUCUUUUAAAAGAUUAAUGAUAUAUUUUCUUUGGUUUGGUAAUAUACCAGAAGAGUUCCUCCAAACUUCAAUACCCAGAAAGUAUUUUAAUGGUCCAAGAUCCUUGAUCGUAAAAAUUGUACUAAUAAAAUGUUUGACAGCUCCAAUGCUUGAUAAGGAAUUACCUGCAACCAGAAAAUCAUCAACAUAAGCCGAGACCACUGUAAAAGUACCAUAAGGAUCAGCUUUAGUGAACAUAGAAUAAUCUUGCUUGGAUUGCACAAAACCAAGGUGAAGUAUAUGUUUAGUCAGCUCUUUAUUCCACUGUCUAGCUGCUACACCCUAGCAGCUUGUCUCAGACCAUAUAUUGAUCUUUUCAGUUUAUACAUUAAACCAGGUUGAGCUUUACUAUAUCAAGGAGGAGGAAGCAUGUAAAUAUCUUCAUCAAUAAAGCCAUGCAAGAAGGCAUUAUUGAUAUCUAACUGGUGCAAUUCCCAGUUCUUUGCUGCAGACACAUGAAUUUCGGAACAGAAAGUGAAUGCAACAGAACAACAAAAUUUGGCUCUGUAAGAUUUAUGAAUAUACAGAGACUGCUAGUAUAGCUACCCAGUGAAGCAUCAGUUUUUAAUCCAAUUCAACACAAUUAAAUAAGAGAAAUAAAGUCAAAAAAAUUGUAAUCACACAGAAGAACAAAACACUAUAAUCAGAAAUUACUAAUAAACACUCUAAAGUUGUUGAUUGUGUGAGAUACCUGAGGAAAGAAAGCAGAUCCGUUAGGGAACAACUAAGAAAUGUCCUUGUGGCUGAUACCAAAGAAAGUGGUCUUCUUCCAGAUUUAUUCAUUAGUACUGCUCCAAUCAUAGUUAUCAGAAUGUGUUACAGUUUUUGUAGAAUAAUUGCUUUGACACAAUAAGAUUGGCCUGAUAUUAUAUUUGUAACAAGUGUCUGAUCCCGGAACUAAUAUCAGACAAGAAUAUCGUGACAAACACAACUAUCUACAAGGAUAUAAUGCCCAGAUUAAAUGUUGCAUCUAAAACUGUAAUUUAUUUAUGUAUCACGUUCAUAUCAUAUCUACCCAGUGUUCCAAGAUUACCUGAUGAAUAUUUUUAAUAUUAGCAUUUAGUAUAUAGGUAUUAUAGUUAACAUUUAACAUUCAGUAUAUAUUCAGGAUCUCAUAGCAUUUACUUUGAUUAAACUACAUGAAAAGAUAAAAACCUAUGUAAAUAGUUUUAAAAUGCAACCACACUUUUGUUUAUAACAAGGAACAUAACGUCAACAUAUAAACCAGAAAAUAACUCGACUAAAACCGGAAAAAAAAAAGACGUAGCAACCUAACUAAGUAACUCGAUUCAAAUUGCUAUGUGGAAGUAGUCAUGAUCAAGGUGAUGUAAUCGCACAUAACCAUCUUCACCUCCACUUGCGAAACUUUUUCCAUCAGGGUUGAAAGCCAAUGCAUUUAUCGGACCAAAGUGUCCUUUCACAGAUCCAAUUUCUUCUCCAAGGACCUUAUGAUAAAAUUUGGCCUCAAACUUGCCAGCACGAGGAUCAUUUGUAACACUCGAUGCAUCCUGACCACCUCCAAGCACGACAUGAUCAAGUAGUGGAGAGAGUGUGACUGCAUUAACCGGGGUUUCAGCCUUAUAUGUCCUGACAAGUCUCAUUGAUCUGAUAUCCCAAAGCUUAGCUGAUUCGUCGAUGGAACCAGUAAGUAAACAUGAACCAUCUAUUGAUUUUGUAAGUGAUGUAACAGCCUUCUGAUGACCAGUCUCCUUAUCCGACUCAUAAAUCACUUUCUUCGUCUCAACGUCCCACACACGAACAACACCUUCUUCACCACCACUUAUUAUCGUCCUAUUCAACGGCCCCCAAACAGCUCUAUUACUUCUCCCUCCAAGCUGUGCCAAUUCAAUCACAGAAUCACCGCACUGCUCACUAGGCUCUCCCACAAUUUCUUUCACAUGAAUCGCAGAAGACAUUUCACCAAAGGAGUCUGUUGCAAUAACAGCAAGCUUAUCUCCAACACUAAAUUCAACUGAUUUCACAGUAGACCUAAAUUCAAACGUAAACAGCUCAGACCCCGUUUGAACAUCCCAUAGCUUCGCUGUUCGAUCCGCACUUGCGGUUAUCAAAAGUUUCGAAUCCCGACUAACAUCACAACCCCAGACAGCCCCAUUGUGGCCACGGUAAGUGCCUAAAAGCUCUCCAUUAUCCGCAUACCAAACAGCGGGGUUUCUGUCUAAUGCGCAGGAGAAGAGGAGAUCACCCUCCUUGUUAUACUUCAAAUACGUUAAUGGCCUUUCGUGCCCUUUCAUCAAGAUCGGCCUCAUAUUUCCUGACAAUCGAUAUAGCAGAAUUUUGAUUAUACACAAAUUAAUAGCUAAAAUUUGAAGAACAAAUCAACAUGCACUACAAAGAACUCAGCGUAAUUUCAACUUUUCAAUAGUCACUAAUUUCAACAGUAUUCCAUCGAAUUUAACUUCUGCCAAAAAUAUUCUUUCAAAAUUAACGAUUUUUCUAGCAGUGAUGAUCAUCAAUCACAAUAUCUACAUCAAAUUUAAACAAGAACAAAGUGCACUCGAAAAUUAACGUUUUUAAUAUUCGAAAAUCGAACCUGAUAAAAUCGAAUUAAUUAACCAUAUAAAAGUACCUGUGUGUACGUUUGAUUGAGUGUAGAAUAAACCUUAAUUGAAGAAGAAGCUGCACUGUGUGAUAACUAGGGGUGUGCACGGGUCGGUUCGGUUCGGUUUUUAGCUAAAACCGUUACCGAACCGUACAUAUCGAUUCGGUUCGGUUUCUAUCUUAAAACCGUUACCGAACCGUCUCAAACGGUUUUUUUCGGUUCGGUUAACCGUCGAUUUUUUCGGUUAACCGUCGGUUAUUUUUGUGAGCAAGAGACAAAAAUAAGGUAUAAUCACUAAUUAAAUAUUAUUCAUUAGUACGUAUUUUACCAAAAUAAAUAAAAAAGAAAAUAUUUAAAAUAUAAAUACUUAUUAAUAUAAUCGAAAUGAAGUACAUGAGCACUAUUACGGUAUGUAAAGAUGAUCUAGAAAUGUAAAGUAUGAAUCAGCCCAGUGUUUUUUUUUUUUAAGGAAACGAACUUGCAUUACUUAGAAAUUAUCAGAAUUCAGUACAAGGCUUAGUUACACAGUAUCUCUUUAUGAAAAUGAUAUUAAUUAGUAACUACUCUACUACUCUCUCUCUACUUAAAUAUAACAAACUGCUGUAACUUGCUGACUUGUAACUAUAGUUGAGGUGGAUAGUUCCUUACUUAGCAGAUAAUAUAUCAAUAAUACCAAUGUAAUAAUUUAUUUUAUAUAAAAUAUAUAAUAUAUAAUAAAUUAUAUAAUAUUAUAUAAGCGGUUCGGUUUUUCGGUUCGGUUUUAGGUGUAAAACCGUAACCGUUGGUUCGGUUAACCGUCGGUUCGGUUGAGCUACGGUUUUUUUCGGUUUUUGUCGGUUUCGGUUUUUUUCGGUGUGGUUUUUCGGUUUUUCGGCUCGGUUUCGGUUUUUCGGUUUUUUUUGCUCACCCCUAGUGAUAACCCUAGAGAAGAAACUGUUUUGUUGUGUAUUUAAUCGUCAAUAUAUAUAAGUUAGCUUUCGAUUACUAGUCUAAUUAGGUUAAUGAUAAUAUUUGCAAAUUCAAAUCCCGUUCUGUUUGUAAAUUCAGAUGUCACUAAAUUUUAUGGAAACCCUAAAUUAAAAUCUCUUCGAAAUAUAAAAUUUUUAUUUAAUUGAAAAAAUAAAAUAUUUAAUAAUAAAUAUGACAAAAUUAAAAAAAUUAUUAUAUUUAACACAUAUUUUAAUUAUAUAUAGUGUAUAAUUUUAUAACUCAGGUCUAAAUUAUCCUAAAAAACUUUUAAAAGUUAAGUAAUUUUUAUAAGAAAAAAUUUAAAUAAUCUAUUUGAAUUAUACUUUGCAAGGCUUGCAACUAGGGGAGAAUAUGGGCCGGUUCGGCUCGGUUUCCGGGUGAAACCGGAACCGCAACCAUAUAUCUUCGGUUUUUAAAAUCGAAAACCGCAACCAUGGGUAUGGAUUCGAUUUCGGUUUCGGUUUAAUAAACCCCGGUUCGGUUGUAAUCGGCUCGGUUUCGGUUAUAAAAUCGAUAAAUAAAAGAAUAAAAAACAAUAUACAAACGAGACAAACUAAUGCGUGUAAUCUAGACAUAAUAAUAAAUACAACUUGAACAUGGUCAAAGAAAAAUAGUGCAAUGAAUUUCAUGCUGAUAGUAGAACUCUUUCGAAGCAGAUAAUAGAUAUCCUUUUCUUUUCCAAAUGUUUUAACACUUCUUUACCUUCCAAAGGAAGGAGUUGCUUAAAAUCAAUUAAAACUUCAGAAAGCAGGUGUCUGUAACUACUUAAUAACAAAUGGCAGCAACAGAUUAGCUCACUAUACCAAGUAUUUUGAAGAAAAAAAAGGGCAGCAUUAACGGUAUAUUGGAACCAGCAGAAAGCAUUGAAUAUCCUGCUUGGUUUCAACUUUAAGUUCAUCUGUAAAUCAAACAGGUCACAUUGACAGCAGCCAGAAUAUGUUUUUCUUAAAUUCUAACAUUAAUAUAACUAUCAACACAAUGAAAAUAGUUAUUUCUUUCUCUGGAAUUAUUUUUAAAUUCAUAUAAAUAUAUAUUAUAUUUAUUUAUUAAAAUAAUCGGUUCGGUUCAGAUUUUUCCGGUUCGGUUUUAAUCAAUAACCAGAACCGAACCCAUAACACCGGUUCGGUUUUUCAUUUUUCGGUUUCGGUUUCGGAUCGAUUUUUUUCGGCUUGGUUUUCACCGGUUUCGGUUCGUUUACGGUUUUUUUUUUGUUUUUUUGCUCAGCCCUGCUUGCAACCAUACAAUCAUUUACGUCAGAUUAAUUAUUAACUAUUAUAAUAUUUCUAUGUAUCGGAUCCAAAUAUUAUUUUAGGGGUCGUUUGAUUGGAGGGGAGUAUGGGGUUUAAAUGAGGAAUCGACUUGAGGUGGUAUGAGAUUGAUGUAUCAUUUUUAAUAUCAUGUGUUUUGUUAAGUGCUGGAAUGAAUAUAUCUAAUAUAAAUAUUUUUAAGUGAUUAAUUAUAAUUAAUUUAAAAAUAUUCUUGAAAUAAUUUUUUUAUAUAUCUUUGAGUCAUCAACUUAAUUUGGUAAUAUCAUUUUGAAUUUGAUGACAUAAAUAAAAAUAAAAAAUAAGACAAUCAAAAUUGAUUUCUCAAAUCUAUGUUUCAUACCCACCUCCUCCUCUGAGUAUGAAAAUCUCAUACAUUGUAGGUUUGAGGCAUGGAUUUGAAGGGAAAAAAAAUCUAACCAAACAUUAGGUAUGCGUAUGUAAUGAACGAAAAUCAUAGCUGAUACCAGACCCGUGAACCGAACGACCUGUUAGAACUCUAUCAAAAAAAAAAUAAAUUAUCUGUUAGAAGCUCCACCAUUUCUUCAAUUAACAACUUUGACAAAUAUAAAGUUAAUCAAAUUUUGAUACAGCUCAUUUUCAUGGUUAUGCUCGGCCCAACUGUGUCUUUGUCGCUUUUAAUUCGCGAGAAUUUCGGAAGUUGCCGGAGGUUUGGAAUACCGGCGAUGAGAGAACUUCCGGUCGUCGGCGUAGGCACAGCUUUAAUGAAGACAAGCAGGGCUGUUGUUAUUUUGGUGAGCAAAGAUUUUAAAUAUCAAUUUUCUUUUUCAUGAUACUCAUGAGUAGCUGUAUGCAUUAUAAUUCUUUGUGUAAUUCUUGUGUAAUCUUGAAACCCAUUUUGAGUGGACUUGAUUAUGUAAUAAGGUAAAAGAUUAAUUUUUCUUUAUCAAUAUGAGUAAGAUGUCUUACGAAUUAGUAUAUGUUCUAAUAAAUCUCGGCUAUUAUGUGUUUGAAUGAAUUAAAUCCCGGGAUGAGCAAGAGUGAACAAAUGACUUGGGACGACAGGGGAUAAGCCUUGCGAUGUUACAAGUCAUUCAUUGUGAUAAACAAAACCGAGGACAUUAAGAUUCCCCGUUAGGUUUUCAUUUUACUUAGUACUUUUGUGCCUGUAACAUUUGAUUUAACGAGCGUAUUGUAUAGCUGUUUAGUCAGGGUGCCGAGAAACUGCAUGCUCUUAUAUGUAUACAGCCAUACAGGGUGCCGAGAAAGUGCAUGUUCUUAUAUGUAUAUGUUAUUCGUACAGAGGUUACUUAAAUCAUUUGCCAACCUAUAUAAACAUAGUCCGGUUUAUGCUCUUUAAGGACCUGAACUGAUGUCAUAACCAUUGCGCAAGAAUACUGGCUAUAUAUAUUUUACCUAUAGGUACUAUGCAUAACUGACUGAAUUGUAUCUCUGUAGAAAGUAGUGUUAUGAUUUUGGGUUUUGGGAUGCGUCGGGAUGAUUUAGGGUUUAGGUGUGUUUCAGGAUUUGAGAUGUGUUGCUUUUAAGGCUUUUGGUGUUAUCAAUAAUGAUAUAAGAGUUGAUGUUCUUAUACGAGAAAAUAUCAUAGCCAAAGGACUAAUAAGUAUUUUUGAAUCCACCAGAAAAUGAAGGGAAAACUCUGAAAGGUUUUAUUUUAAUAAAAGAUUGUCUUAUAAGAUUUCAAGAUAUGAGUAUUUAUAGACUAGGGAAAUAGUCUAAACUCAAGAGGAAUCUGAAAGAAAUUCAGGACCAACUAGAAUAGAAAAUUAGCUAAUAUCUAAACCCAUCUAGGAACCUAUCGAAACCCCAAUCUGAUAAUUAAAACCUUUUACCGCUUAUAAUGUUGAUAAUUCUUAGCUCAUGCAUCACAUUUGGUUCCUAAAUAGUUAUGGUCUGUACUACUCUAUAGUUGCAUCUUUAUUUUAUCUUUUGUAAAUACUUGCCUCUUUUUACUUGUGCCCUACAUGUGUUACAUUGUUAGCUUUACUUGAUUGUUGCUGUGUAUCAUGUGUGCCUCCGUGCUGGUCGGGCUUUAUUUAAACUUAUGCUUUCAUUUAUUUGGUUUUUCGAGUUUUAAGUUUGCUUUGAAAACAAUGAUUGUGUUUUGUUCCAUACUUCAAGUAUGUUUCUAUAAGCAUAACGGGUGCUUCCUAAUCUGAAAAUUCACUAAUGGUGUUCUGUAUUGUGUUAGAACUAUAAUUUGUAACGAGCUGAUGUUUGAGAG